Molecule: ribosomal RNA, 437 nt
Filed under: Phellodon niger
Lineage: Eukaryota; Fungi; Basidiomycota; Agaricomycetes; Thelephorales; Thelephoraceae
Description: eukaryotic LSU rRNA
Rfam family: 5.8S ribosomal RNA (bases 79-232)
Source: RNAcentral
UGUGAGCUUUUUCAAUCACACACACACACACUUUGUUAAGAUCAGAAUGUCACAGCGCGUAGAAGCGCGAAACAAUACAACUUUCAGCAACGGAUCUCUUGGCUCUCGCAUCGAUGAAGAACGCAGCGAAAUGCGAUAAGUAAUGUGAAUUGCAGAAUUCAGUGAAUCAUCGAAUCUUUGAACGCACCUUGCGCUCCUUGGUAUUCCGAGGAGCAUGCCUGCUUGAGUGUCAUGAAAUUAUCAACUGCCUUGAUGGGCUUUUGCUCCAAAAGGGUGAAGUUGGAUUUGGAGGAUGAUGUUGCUGGCGGCUCUUCAACGAGCUUUGUCGGCUCCUCUGGAAUGCAUGAGCCUUCCUGUGCACCGGCGAAGCGACUCUCCGAUGUGAUAACUAUCUACGUUGGACUUCGCGUUUGCUUGGGCAUAACGGAUUCGAAACA